This 1374-nucleotide ribosomal RNA is filed under the name uncultured organism. RNAcentral's name for it is "bacterial SSU rRNA". It matches the Rfam family "Bacterial small subunit ribosomal RNA". The record is from RNAcentral.
AGUGGCGCAAGGGUGAGUACACGUGAGUAACCUGCCCCCGACGUUCGGGAUACCGCGGGAAACUGGGAUUAAUACCGGAUGCGGCGGCCUCCGGCGGGAGGGCUGCCAAAGAUUGAGUUCGGUCGGGGAUGGGCUCGCGGCCCAUUAGCUUGUUGGCGGGGUAACGGCCCACCAAGGCUACGACGGGUAGGUGGUCUGAGAGGAUGGUCACCACACUGGGACUGAGACACUGUCCAGACUCCUACGGGAGGCUGCAGUCGAGAAUCUUCCGCAAUGGGCGCAAGCCUGACGGAGCGAUGCCGCGUGAGGGAUGAAGGCCUUCGGGUUGUAAACCUCUGUCACCCGGGACGAAGAAGUGACGGUACCGGGAGAGGAAGCCACGGCUAACUACGUGCCAGCAGCCGCGGUACUACGUAGGUGGCGAGCGUUAUUCGGAUUUACUGGGCGUAGAGGGUCCGUAGGGGGUCCGUCAAGUCUGAUGUGAAAUUCCGGGGCUCAACCCCGGACGUGCAUUGGAUACUGCCGGACUUGAGUGCGCGAGAGGAAAGCGGAAUUCCAGGUGUAGCGGUGGAAUGCGUAGAUAUCUGGAAGAACACCCGCGGCGAAGGCGGCUUUCUGGCGCGUCACUGACCCUGAGGGACGAAAGCGUGGGUAGCGAACAGGAUUAGAUACCCUGGUAGUCCACGCCGUAAACGUUGUGCACUAGAUGUGGGGGGUCCUUUGGUCCCUUCCGUGUCCAAGCUAACGCGAUUAAGUGCACCGCCUGGGGACUACGCCCGCAAGGCUCAAACUCAAAGGAAUUGACGGGGGCCCGCACAAGCGGUGGAGCAUGUGGCUUAAUUCGAGGCAACGCGAAGAACCUUACCUGGGUUUGACAUAUACCGGACCGACCGUGAAAGCGGUUUUCUCUUCGGAGUCGGUAUACAGGUGCUGCAUGGCUGUCGUCAGCUCGUGCCGUGAGAUGUUCGGUUAAGUCCGGCAACGAGCGCUACCCGUAUCAUCAGUUACCAGCGCGUCAUGGCGGGGACUCUGGUGAGACUGCCCGUGUCAAGCGGGAGGAAGGCGCGGAUGACGUCAAGUCCGUAUGGCCCUUACAUCCAGGGCUGCACACGUGCUACAAUGGUCGGUACAAUGGGCGGCAAGACCGCGAGGUGGAGCCAAUCCCCAAAACCGGCCCCAGUUCGGAUCGGAGUCUGCAACUCGACUCCGUGAAGUCGGAAUCGCUAGUAAAGGCGUAUCAGCAACGACGCCGUGAAUACGUUCCCGGGCCUUGUACACACCGCCCGUCACAUCAUGGAAGCUGGCUGCACCCAAAGUCGUCGGCUCAGCCUUCGGGAGAGAACGCCUAAGGUGUGUCCAUAACUGGGAUGAAGU